ACAUUCCUUAAUUAUUAUUGUUAUCUCCUUGAUUUGCUUGGAUUUCAAUCUUCAGGGAGAGAGCAUGGCCACCGUGUUGGUUGCUACUCAAUGUCGCUGGGGCGCUCCUCACCGCUCAUCUCCUCGCAGAAGAUUCUUCUACCCCUCGAAGAAUCAGCAGAAGUUAUUAACUUCAUCCGCUCUGAGAGAACCUAAAGUUCUUGCAAAGGAUCUCACACUAAGCAUAGAUCCAACGACAGAGGAAAAAGAUGUCUCCGAGGCUAAGUUGCUCCAAGAAUUUACUAACAUCCCUAACAUUGAUAAGGCGUGGAUUGUUAAAUCAGAUAGUGAAAACAGCUCCCAUGCAAUGUUCUUGAUUAAUCAAGUAAAUCUACUGGCAAACAAAAACAGGACAUUUAUACUAUCAUCCAAUAUUUCAAAAAGCACAGACAGUGUGAGCUUUCAAUGGUCUCCUUUUCCAGUUGAGAUACAAGGCGCAUCUGCAAUUGUUCCAUCACCAUCAGGUUCCAAGCUUCUUGUAGUUCGGAAUAAAGGACAAGAAUCAUCAACUGAGCUUGAAAUUUGGGGCCCUUCUUGUUUGGAGAAGGAGAUACACAUUCAAAAAUUAGUUCAUGGUUCAUUGUACACUGACAGAUGGUUUGAGGGUAUUUCAUGGAAUCAUGAAGAAUCUCAAAUUGCCUAUAUCGCGGAAGAACCUUGUCCAUCUAAGCCAACAUUUGGUAGUUCAGUGUACAAGAAAGAAGAUUCUUCUAGUAAGAGUUCAGUUAGCUGGAAAGGUCAAGGGGAAUGGGAAGAGGAUUGGGGUGAAACCUAUACUGGAAAAAGAAAGCCUGCCCUCUUCGUUGUCGACAUUAAUAGUGGAGAAGUCCGGAUGGCUGAGGGAAUCCCAAGGUCAUUAAGUGUUGGGCAAGUAGUAUGGGCUCCGUUAUCUGCUCAGAGUUCUCAAAACUACUUAGUUUUUGUUGGAUGGUCAGAAAUUGGUCCCUGCAAUGUGACAAGAAAGCUUGGUAUGAAAGUUUGUUACAAUAGGCCAUGCUCCUUGUAUGCAGUCAGGUCUCCUUUUCAUGGAUCAGUUGGAACUGAGCUAAGGUUCAAUGAAACUGAAAAUUCAGCUUCUGCAGUCAAUUUGAUUCCUGGCAUGAGUAGUGCUUUCUUUCCCCGUUUUAGCCCAGAUGGCAAGUUUCUUGUAUUUUUAUCUGCAAUAACUGCUGUGGAUACUGGAGCACACGCGGUCACAAAAUCACUGCACAGACUUGAUUGGAGAGUUGAUGGGAAACCUUGUCCAUCAAGAAAUAUAAUUGAAGUGGUCCCUGUGGUGAUGUGUCCUAAAGAUGAUGGCUUCCCUGGGAUCUAUAAUUCAAGCCUCCUCAAUGAUCCAUGGCUUCCUGACGGACAUACAAUGAUAUUGUCAUCAGCGUGGGGCAGCAUCCAAGUAAUACUUUCAAUAAACAUCUUGAGUGGGAGUGUUUCUCGAAUCACGCCCUCUAACUCAAACUCUUCGUGGAAUCUUCUUGACCUUGAUGGGAACAACAUUCUUGCUGUAUCCAGCACUCCUAUACACCUGCCACAGAUUAAGUAUGGAUAUCAGUAUGAUAGAAUGGAAAAGGAGAACUCGUGGCAUUGGAUAUCUGUUUCUACUCCAUUUAUGGGAUACUCAGAAAAGAUCAAAUCGUUGCUUUCGUCACAAUUGUUUAGCAUACUAAAGAUUCCAGUUAAAAGUACUUCUGAAAACCUUCCAGAAGGUGCUAAGAAGACUUUUGAAUCUAUUUUUCUAUAUUCUCAUUCAGAAGAAUCUGGUUCCACGCAUCAAAAUAAUUGCCGCCCAUUAAUUAUACUGAUUCAUGGUGGUCCACAUUCAGUCACAUUAUCAAGCUAUUCGAAACAAGCAUCAUUUCUAUCUUCAUUGGGGUACAAUUUGCUUCUAGUUAAUUAUAGAGGAUCAGUUGGGUUUGGAGAGGAAUCCCUACAAUCUCUUCCAGGAAAUAUCGGAUGCCAGGAUGUAAAUGAUGUACUAGCAGCACUGGACUAUGUCAUCGACAAGGGACUUGCAGAUGGGUCUAAAGUAGCUCUAUAUGGAAGUUCACAUGGAGGCUUCUUGACAGCCCAUUUGGUUGGACAGGCACCGCAUAGGUUUACUGUGGCAGCUGUACGAAACCCUGUCUGCAACCUUUCACUGAUGGUGGCCACAACAGAUAUUCCUGACUGGUGUUAUGUCUUGACCUUCGGAAAAGAUGGAAAGAAAUAUUUUACUGAUGCACCUUCAACCGAUCAUCUGUCUAUGUUCUAUAAAAUGUCUCCUAUUUCGCAUCUCUCAAAGGUUAAGGCACCCCUUCUUUUCCUUUUGGGCGCUAAAGACCGUCGUGUUCCCAUUUCUAAUGGGUUGCAAUAUGCUCAGGGUUUGAAGGACAAAGGAGUAGAGGUCAAAGUGAUUGUAUUUCCAGAGGAUGGUCACGUGAGGUUCAGGCCACAAUCUGAAUUCGAAAGCUUGGUCAAUUUGGCUGUGUGGUUUAACAAGCAUAUUAAAUGAAACAUUCAUAAACACACAGUAUAUUAUGCAUUUGGAACCUGAACUCACGUUUCCGAGGCUUUGCACCUCAACACCUAAAGCAUGAUAAAAGUUUGUAGCAAUCGGAAUGAGAUUCUCAACCUGCGUUUCUCUCAUAAUUCUAUCAAUAUAGCCCUGCCGGCUAUUGAUUAUCAAAAGAAACAACAUUCCUAUCAAAAUAAUUUAGAAGGAGCUUACUAGGAUAAGUAAUGCUGCAAAAAUUGUUACGCAAUCCUCUCCUGCGGUCUUCUUGUAUUUAUUUAGAUUUCUGAUUCAUAUCCACAUAAAAUUUGGUUGACAAUGAAGUUUUAGCUUCCGGGUUGUUCCAUACGCUCAAAAGCUGUGUUUGGAGCUUCUAUCUCUUAGUUGUCAAUUUUCUUCUUUGUCCUUCUACCGAUUGAUAGAGUUGAGCUACAUAUAAUCCACUUAAAUGGAGUUCUUUUUUUUCUA
Asparagus officinalis (garden asparagus) is the source of this 2995-nucleotide RNA transcript. It is a transcript of the gene named acylamino-acid-releasing enzyme 1-like, with no coding region annotated. The record is from RefSeq and is a predicted model, not a curated record. The transcript is spliced from 20 exons. Lineage: Eukaryota; Viridiplantae; Streptophyta; Magnoliopsida; Asparagales; Asparagaceae.